GAAAUAAAAAGUCGAACAGACUUAUAUUAAAGAAUACUGCUUCUUUAAUUUUUCUUAAUUCAACAUCGAGGUCGCAAAAAUAAAUAUAGAUAUGAACUCCCCAUUAAAAUUACGCUGUUAUCCCUAAGGUAACUUUAUCUUAUUUCCUUUAAGGAUCAUUUUAUCAUUGAUAAUGAUUUAAAAAGUUAAAGUUAAAAUUUAACUGCCACCCCAGCAAAAAAUAAAUUCAAUUAAAAAUUUAUUAUUAAAAAUAUUUAUUUUAAUUUAAUUGAAGUUCUAUAGGGUCUUAUCGUCCCAUGAUAUUUAUUAAGCAUUUUUACUUAAAAUUAAAUUUUUAAUAUUAAAAUAAAUAAAAAUAAAAUCUCAUUCAUCCAUUCAUACAAGCUCCUAAUUAAGAAACUAAUUAUUAUGCUACCUUUGCACAGUCAAAAUACUGCAGCCAUUUAAAAUAUUAUCAUAGGGCAGGAGAUACUUUUUAUUUAAACA
RNAcentral lists this ribosomal RNA (486 nucleotides) under Scaphoideus sp. GMB-2012. Its description in RNAcentral is "partial 16S ribosomal RNA". The record is from RNAcentral. Lineage: Eukaryota; Metazoa; Arthropoda; Insecta; Hemiptera; Cicadellidae.